UACGUAGGCAGCAAGCGUUGUUCGGAAUUACUGGGCGUAAAGCGUGCGCAGGCGGUUCGCCAAGUCAGGUGUGAAAUCCCCGGGCUUAACCUGGGAAUUGCGCUUGAAACUAGCGGGCUUGAGUGUGGCAGAGGGGGGUGGAAUUCCACGUGUAGCAGUGAAAUGCGUAGAGAUGUGGAGGAACACCGAUGGCGAAGGCAGCCCCCUGGGUCAACACUGACGCUCAUGCACGAAAGCGUGGGGAGCAAACAGG
RNAcentral lists this ribosomal RNA (253 nucleotides) under uncultured bacterium. RNAcentral describes it as "partial 16S ribosomal RNA". It matches the Rfam family "Bacterial small subunit ribosomal RNA", at positions 524 to 776 of the family's 1533-position model. The record is from RNAcentral.